This 480-nucleotide ribosomal RNA is filed under the name uncultured bacterium. Its description in RNAcentral is "partial 16S ribosomal RNA". It matches the Rfam family "Bacterial small subunit ribosomal RNA", at positions 28 to 507 of the family's 1533-position model. The record is from RNAcentral.
GAUGAACGCUGGCGGCGUGCUUAACACAUGCAAGUCGAACGAAGCAUUUGCGACAGAUUUUUUCGGAAUGAAGUUGCUUAUGACUGAGUGGCGGACGGGUGAGUAACGCGUGGGUAACCUGCCUUGUACUGGGGGAUAGCAGCUGGAAACGGCUGGUAAUACCGCAUAAGCGCACAAUGUUGCAUGACAUGGUGUGAAAAACUCCGGUGGUAUAAGAUGGACCCGCGUCUGAUUAGCUAGUUGGUGAGAUACAGCCCACCAAGGCGACGAUCAGUAGCCGACCUGAGAGGGUGACCGGCCACAUUGGGACUGAGACACGGCCCAGACUCCUACGGGAGGCAGCAGUGGGGAAUAUUGCACAAUGGAGGAAACUCUGAUGCAGCGACGCCGCGUGAGUGAAGAAGUAAUUCGUUAUGUAAAGCUCUAUCAGCAGGGAAGAUAGUGACGGUACCUGACUAAGAAGCUCCGGCUAAAUACGUG